UAAGGUUAAGUUAAUAAGGGCGCACGGUGGAUGCCUUGGCACUAGAAGCCGAAGAAGGACGUGACUAACGACGAAAUGCUUUGGGGAGCUGUAAGUAAGCGCUGAUCCAGAGAUGUCCGAAUGGGGGAACCCACUAGUUAAUGACUAGUAUCCAUAUCUGUUAAGGAUAUGAGAAGGAAGACGCAGUGAACUGAAACAUCUAAGUAGCUGCAGGAAGAGAAAGCAAAAGCGAUUGCCUUAGUAGCGGCGAGCGAAACGGCAGGAGGGCAAACCGAAGUGUUUACACUUCGGGGUUGUAGGACUGCGAUAUAGGAUUAAUCAUUAUAGAAGAAUUACCUGGGAAGGUAAGCCAAAGAGAGUAACAGCCUCGUAUUUAAAAUGAUAGAUUAACCUUAGCAGUAUCCUGAGUACGGCGAGACACGCGAAAUCUCGUCGGAAUCUGGGAGGACCAUCUCCCAACCCUAAAUACUCUCUAGUGACCGAUAGUGAACCAGUACCGUGAGGGAAAGGUGAAAAGCACCCCGGGAGGGGAGUGAAAUAGAACCUGAAACCGUGUGCCUACAACAAGUUCGAGCCCGUUAAUGGGUGAGAGCGUGCCUUUUGUAGAAUGAACCGGCGAGUUACGAUAUGAUGCGAGGUUAAGUUGAAGAGACGGAGCCGUAGGGAAACCGAGUCUUAAUAGGGCGUCAUAGUAUCAUGUUGUAGACCCGAAACCAUGUGACCUACCCAUGAGCAGGUUGAAGGUGAGGUAAAACUCACUGGAGGACCGAACCAGGGCACGUUGAAAAGUGCUUGGAUGACUUGUGGGUAGCGGAGAAAUUCCAAACGAACUUGGAGAUAGCUGGUUCUCUCCGAAAUAGCUUUAGGGCUAGCGUCGAUGUUAAGUCUCUUGGAGGUAGAGCACUGUUUGGGUGAGGGGUCCAUCCCGGAUUACCAAUCUCAGAUAAACUCCGAAUGCCAACGAGAUAUAAUCGGCAGUCAGACUGCGAGUGCUAAGAUCCGUAGUCGAAAGGGAAACAGCCCAGACCACCAGCUAAGGUCCCAAAAUAUAUGUUAAGUGGAAAAGGAUGUGGGGUUGCACAGACAACUAGGAUGUUAGCUUAGAAGCAGCUAUUCAUUCAAAGAGUGCGUAAUAGCUCACUAGUCGAGUGACCCUGCGCCGAAAAUGUACCGGGGCUAAAACAUAUUACCGAAGCUGUGGAUGACACAAAAGUGUCAUGGUAGGAGAGCGUUCUAUGUGUGAAGAAUGUGUACCGUGAGGAGCGCUGGAACGCAUAGAAGUGAGAAUGCCGGUAUGAGUAGCGCAAGACAGGUGAGAAUCCUGUCCACCGUAAGACUAAGGUUUCCAGGGGAAGGCUCGUCCGCCCUGGGUUAGUCGGGACCUAAGGAGAGACCGAAAGGUGUAUCCGAUGGACAACAGGUUGAUAUUCCUGUACUAGAGUAUAUAGUGAUGGAGGGACGCAGUAGGCUAACUAAACCAGACGAUUGGAAGUGUCUGGUCAAACAGUGAGGUGUGAUAUGAGUCAAAUGCUUAUAUCUUUAACAUUGAGCUGUGACGAGGAGCGAAGUUUAGUAGCGAAGUUAGUGAUGUCACACUGCCAAGAAAAGCUUCUAGCGAUACAUAUACUCUACCCGUACCGCAAACCGACACAGGUAGUCGAGGCGAGUAGCCUCAGGUGAGCGAGAGAACUCUCGUUAAGGAACUCGGCAAAAUGGCCCCGUAACUUCGGGAGAAGGGGCGCUGAUUU
This 1748-nucleotide ribosomal RNA is filed under the name Streptococcus agalactiae. RNAcentral describes it as "partial 23S ribosomal RNA". It matches the Rfam family "Bacterial large subunit ribosomal RNA", at positions 1 to 1757 of the family's 2925-position model. The record is from RNAcentral. Lineage: Bacteria; Bacillati; Bacillota; Bacilli; Lactobacillales; Streptococcaceae.